GACGAACCGUGCAAACGUUGUUCGGAAUCACUGGGCUUAAAGGGCGCGUAGGCGGCUCGCCAAGUCGGGGGUGAAAUCUUUCGGCUUAACCGGAAAAGUGCCUUCGAUACUGGCGAGCUUGAGGGAGGUAGGGGCAUGUGGAACUUCCGGUGGAGCGGCGAAAUGCGUUGAUAUCGGAAGGAACGCCGGUGGCGAAAGCGACGUGCUGGAUCUCUUCUGACGCUGAGGCGCGAAAGCUAGGGGAGCAAACGGG
This 253-nucleotide ribosomal RNA is filed under the name uncultured bacterium. RNAcentral describes it as "partial 16S ribosomal RNA". It matches the Rfam family "Bacterial small subunit ribosomal RNA", at positions 524 to 776 of the family's 1533-position model. The record is from RNAcentral.